AUGUACCAGUUAGAUGAAAUGCUAGAUGGAGAGGUUAGUAGUGACCUUGGCAGCUUGGUCAUCGACUAUCUCUUGCUUGAUGAGAGUGUUGAGGCUGUAAUACAAGUCUCUGCAAAGAUUGACUGCCCUCAUCAUAUGAGAUUCACUGCAUUCACUAGUGGCUUUGAUGGUGAGAUUGUGCUGUUUGACGAUAAGUUCUCUGGGAAUGGAAAACUGUUCCAGUAUGUUGUCGCGGUGAAGGCUGAGGGGAAAUUGGACAUUUGCUUAAAAUUGGAGGAAUCAUUGUUUUGGUGGACUUUCCAGGAAGGAGCUGUUGGAGCUGUUAGGUUCCCUGAUGACUCGGUUUUGAAUUACGGGCAGUUUGAGGUGACGGUGCUUUUUGCUCCUAAGAACUUUACAAUGGCUGGCUGA
RNAcentral lists this ribosomal RNA (411 nucleotides) under Triticum aestivum (bread wheat). Its description in RNAcentral is "partial small subunit ribosomal RNA". The record is from RNAcentral. Lineage: Eukaryota; Viridiplantae; Streptophyta; Magnoliopsida; Poales; Poaceae.